Zophobas morio is the source of this 1086-nucleotide long non-coding RNA. RefSeq lists it as uncharacterized. The transcript has 5 exons. The record is from RefSeq and is a predicted model, not a curated record. Lineage: Eukaryota; Metazoa; Arthropoda; Insecta; Coleoptera; Tenebrionidae.
UCUUUAAUUUGCUUUUCUUCUACCUGCUGUAGUUUCUACGUUCUGUUUUUUUCUACGGUAUUUUCUCAACUUCUAUUUCCGCCUGUGCACAGUUCUGGUAUAGCUGCGUAUUGGUUCCACUCAUGCUCUAAGAGAACCCUGCUAUCUCAAGGAGCGUGACACUUCCUCUGUAGCGGCAUGCAUUGUCUGAGGUUAUCGAAAUGAGUCAGAACCGUUAUUCUUUCAGAAAUAUAGGGCCUCAUAAAAUCAUUCCCUAUGCAGGUAUCGUAAUCUUAUACCCACGGAUAACUUGGAGCAUUAGGAUUCCAGGUGUCUCUGCGUAUCUCAUAUAAAGGGGUCAAAUAUAAUUUAAGAACCGAGGUUGUCUUCAUCGUUUACGUUGGUAAAUCCAUGAAGACCUACCAAAGUAGCGUUGACUUGCAAAGGGCUAUAUCGCAGCUUCAGGUUAUGUUAAAAAAACCUUAAAAAUACUGAAAUAUACCUUUUGGCCCCAAUCACUAUCUUAUUAUCAUCGCUAAACAGUUUAUCAGGUUUCAACGCUUAGACCUGUGCCUGGUAAGUUGCCACCAACUCCGCUUUUAAAAAAUAAGGGCUCAAUGAGAAAGUAAUAUAGUAUCAGAAAGUAGCUUUAGUAGUAAUCACAUUGUCUUUCGCGUUUACAUGCGAACGCCCACUUGGAGUGCAUAUGUUCGCGUCUGAAUCAAGAAGGCAACCCUGAUACAAAUAUCAGCGGAGUGCGGUUAUUUGACUCCAGAUAUUCGCAGAAUAACAGAGCUUUUUCCUUGUUUUUUAUUUUAUAAUAUGUAAUUUAUUAGUCCUAUUACCCCAACUACUAUAUAUAUCCCUGAAGACUGGGGGCCUCACACAAUUAAUUGAGAUAGUUGAAUUAAUAUUAUCUCAUGGAGUUAAAAAUUGUAUUGAUCGAUGGCCAAAAGCGUGUUGCGAAUUUCAUUAAUCAUGUCAAGUUGAUUUCCUAAGUUAGAUGAGGCCCAGCCCGAGUUUUCCAACCUAACUUUGCAUCUCUUGAUUCGACAUUUUUCACAACUGAGUCACGACGAGAAGUCAGGUGUCCCCCUCAAGCUAUAG